Ooceraea biroi (clonal raider ant) is the source of this 544-nucleotide long non-coding RNA. RefSeq lists it as uncharacterized. The record is from RefSeq and is a predicted model, not a curated record. Lineage: Eukaryota; Metazoa; Arthropoda; Insecta; Hymenoptera; Formicidae.
GGUGCGACACCAGGAUUGGCGCACCGCGCCGGCGGCCGAUUUGAAUCGAAGCGCCUCCUCGCGCCGUCCACCAGACGUACCAUGAUUGGACGAAGUGAUAGGUAACCGUGAACGUGUGAAACGCGAAUUGCAGUGUGCGUCACUCUCAAAGAUGCUGACGAACGUACGUGUACGUACGAGCGCGCGCAAACGGCAAAGGUGGCGAAGAACGCAAAUUGCUAAAGGCACUGUUCCGGUGACCUACUCCGCGAUUAUCACUCACUGCGGCCGAUCGUCGAUGCAAGUGCGUGAGCGUUAACUAGUGUUGGCAACUAUACCACGCCACGAGAAAAGGAGGACACCACGCGGGGACGUAAUCACAUAAAUGUUGCGCGAGCCGUCUUAUUUCGAGCCCUUUCCCGGCGCAAUUUUAGCAGGUGCAUUGAAUUGACAGUUGCAUGAAAUAAUGAUCUGCUUUUGUGACCAUUUUUCUCCCUCCAACAUUUUUUGCAUAUUGAUUUAGUUUCGGUGCAGUAAAAAGCAAUAAAUUUUAUGAUUCUGCAAC